GACGAACGCUGGCGGCGUGCUUAACACAUGCCAGUCGAACGGAAAGGCCCUGCUUUUGUGGGGUGCUCGAGUGGCGAACGGGUGAGUAACACGUGAGUAACCUGCCCUUGACUUUGGGAUAACUUCAGGAAACUGGGGCUAAUACCGGAUAGGAGCUCCUGCUGCAUGGUGUGGGUUGGAACGUUUCGGCGGUUGGGGAUGGACUCGCGGCUUAUCAGCUUGUUGGUGGGGUAGUGGCUUACCAAGGCUUUGACGGGUAGCCGGCCUGAGAGGGUGACCGGCCACAUUGGGACUGAGAUACGGCCCAGACUCCUACGGGAGGCAGCAGUGGGGAAUAUUGCACAAUGGGCGGAAGCCUGAUGCAGCAACGCCGCGUGCGGGAUGACGGCCUUCGGGUUGUAAACCGCUUUCGCCUGUGACGAAGCGUGAGUGACGGUAAUGGGUAAAGAAGCACCGGCUAACUACGUG
RNAcentral lists this ribosomal RNA (468 nucleotides) under uncultured bacterium. RNAcentral describes it as "partial 16S ribosomal RNA". It matches the Rfam family "Bacterial small subunit ribosomal RNA", at positions 28 to 507 of the family's 1533-position model. The record is from RNAcentral.